Molecule: ribosomal RNA, 253 nt
Filed under: uncultured bacterium
Lineage: Bacteria
Description: partial 16S ribosomal RNA
Rfam family: Bacterial small subunit ribosomal RNA
Source: RNAcentral
UACGUAGGUGACCAGCGUUGUCCGGAUUUACUGGGCGUAAAGAGCGCGCAGGCGGUCGUUCAAGUCGAGUGUGAAAGCCCCCGGCUCAACUGGGGAGGGUCAUUCGAUACUGAUCGACUGGAAGGCAGGAGAGGGAAGCGGAAUUCCCGGUGUAGUGGUGAAAUUCGUAGAUAUCGGGAGGAACACCGGUGGCGAAGGCGGCGACCUGGGUAGAUACUGACGCUGAGGCGCGAAAGCGUGGGGAGCAAACAGG